Molecule: non-coding RNA, 21 nt
Filed under: Arabidopsis thaliana (thale cress)
Lineage: Eukaryota; Viridiplantae; Streptophyta; Magnoliopsida; Brassicales; Brassicaceae
Source: RNAcentral
CCGAAGUUAAGAUGGUUUUAC